Molecule: ribosomal RNA, 301 nt
Filed under: uncultured bacterium
Lineage: Bacteria
Description: partial 16S ribosomal RNA
Rfam family: Bacterial small subunit ribosomal RNA
Source: RNAcentral
CAGCCGCCGCGGUAAUACGUAGGUCCCGAGCGUUGUCCGGAUUUAUUGGGCGUAAAGGGAGCGCAGGCGGUUUAGUAAGUCUGAAGUUAAAGGCAUUGGCUCAACCAAUGUAUGCUUUGGAAACUGUUAGACUUGAGUGCAGAAGGGGAGAGUGGAAUUCCAUGUGUAGCGGUGAAAUGCGUAGAUAUAUGGAGGAACACCGGUGGCGAAAGCGGCUCUCUGGUCUGUAACUGACGCUGAGGAGCGAAAGCGUGGGGAGCGAACAGGAUUAGAUACCCCGGUAGUCCCUGUCUCUUAUACA